Long non-coding RNA from Notolabrus celidotus (New Zealand spotty), 217 nucleotides. RefSeq lists it as uncharacterized. NCBI's taxonomy places the organism in Eukaryota, Metazoa, Chordata, Actinopteri, Labriformes, Labridae. The record is from RefSeq and is a predicted model, not a curated record. The transcript is spliced from 3 exons.
AGAAGAUCAGAGAAGGAAAUAUAAUGUUUUAAAUGAUAGGUAAUUAUAAUUACAACUAGGAGAGACUAUUACUCAGACACCAGCUGGGACGCUUAGCUGAGGGGUAGAGUGCCAGAAGAGCUCAUAGUGCCCUAUUACCCCUCUAGAACAGGGGUUCUCAAACCUUUUGGAGGGGACCCCUUACAGGUACAGCCUGGGGUCAAGAUCGGCUCUGGCA